RNAcentral lists this ribosomal RNA (406 nucleotides) under uncultured bacterium. RNAcentral's name for it is "partial 16S ribosomal RNA". It matches the Rfam family "Bacterial small subunit ribosomal RNA", at positions 30 to 526 of the family's 1533-position model. The record is from RNAcentral.
AUUGAACGCUGGCGGCAGGCCUAACACAUGCAAGUCGAACGAGUGGCGGACGGGUGAGUAAUGUCUGGGAAACUGCCCGAUGGAGGGGGAUAACUACUGGAAACGGUAGCGAAUACCGCAUACCAUCGGAUGUGCCCAGAUGGGAUUAGCUGGUAGGGGAGGUAACGGCUCACCUAGGCGACGAUCCCUAGCUGGUCUGAGAGGGUGACCAGCCACAAUGGAACUGAGACACGGCCCAGACUCCUACGGGAGGCAGCAGUGGGGAAUAUUGCACAAUGGGCGCAAGCCUGAUGCAGCCAUGCCGCGUGUAUGAAGAAGGCCCUAGGGUUGUAAAGUACUUUCAGUCGGGAGGCGUUACCCACAGAAGAAGCACCGGCUAACUCCGUGCCAGCAGCCGCGGUAAUUC